RNAcentral lists this long non-coding RNA (10927 nucleotides) under Gossypium barbadense (sea-island cotton). RNAcentral describes it as "long non-coding RNA (GBAR_LNC018074)". The record is from RNAcentral. Lineage: Eukaryota; Viridiplantae; Streptophyta; Magnoliopsida; Malvales; Malvaceae.
CCAUUCUUAAUUAUCUUUUCAUAAAAUAUACUCCAUUCAUUUAUCUAUAGAUGUAUUUUAAAUGUUUUAAUAUCAUUAAAAUUAAAAACAUUAACAAAAGUUUUCUUUAAAAAAAAACAUACCUUACAAAUAGCGGUAGUGAUACAAUUUAAUUUUCACCAAUUAAUAGAAUAACAAGGAUGAUUAGAUCCUUCACCUUCACUUUGAGAGCGUUCUUGACUUUAUUCUCGUGUCCUUUGUCCAAAAAUAUAUCCAAAAAAAAAACAUUGUCACCUUGGUUUUCAUAUAAUUGAUAUUUAGAAUAUAUUUGAGGAGGGAGAUGCAUGAAAGGUGGAGGUGGAUGAUACAUUGGUGCUGGAGGAUGCAUGUGAGGCUGAUAUGGCACACCAUAAUUAGGAAAUAGUAGAUAAUAACCAUAUGGUUGUGAAUAACCAGGUGGAUGUUAAAAAUAUGAAGGUUUGUCCGGUGGAUAAAAACAUUGUGUGCUAGUGUCAUGGGUUGCGCAUACUCUAAGUCCAUGACACUAGUAGAUGAAUCACUAUACCCAAGGUUACUAGAACUCGAUCUCCUACCAAAUGAAUAGCCUAUAGAAGUAUGCUUCUUACCUUUUCUUUUAAUGGAGCUCUAGGUUUACUUCUAUCUCUCCUAGGUUCAGGAAAUAUAUUUCUAUUAAAUUUUGAUAUAUCACAGAAAUGUCCACUAAUGGUACUAACCCCAUAUUCUCCUCCAUACCGACUAGAAGACCUAAUUUCACCUCUAUGUCCAUGAUCAUCAUCAAUUGGACUUAAACCACCACCAUCAGGUCCAUCACCACUCUGACUUGGCAUUGCACUAGAACUUGAAUGAGACAAUUUUGUUAUUGAGCUUUAUUAACAUUUAUUUUAUCAUCAGAGGUAUCCACAUGCAACACACCAACAUUUUCACCAUCUAACAAUGAAUUCUCUUUCUCUUAAAGUCAUUCUGAUAGUGGAUCAACAUCUUCAAAGAUAUGAUCAAGGCUAAUAGGAUUAAAACUAGCAUUUAUAUCAUCAAUGCUCAUUCUUUUUUUAUGCCUUAUCUGAAGCUUCAUAUUAUAGUAGGUAAACACUAGUUUAUCAAAUUUUUUAUACUUCAACUCAUUUCUUGCCUUGAUGUGAAUAUAACUAAAUGUGUUCUAAUUUUGUUCGCAGUUUGAUGCAAAAGUUGUUUAACUAAGCACUUUAAUUGCUAAUAUUUAUAACUCAAGAACACAUGUCAUAUAUUAUCCACCACUCAGCUGCAUAAUAUUAUUUAAAUUUCAAAAUAACUUCAAAAUGUACAAUAUAAUUAAAUAAUUUAAUUAACUACUUACCCAGAUUCAUAUGCUUCCAAGCUCCUUGUGCUUGUGAAGUACCAAAUGUCUCAUAUUUAUCUUUAAAUAGUAACAACUAAAUAAAUAAAAAGAUAGUAAAAAUAAAAAAAAUAAUUCCAUUUCAAAUUAUGUAACUAAGUUAUAAAUAAUAGUACUUGAAUAUAACUUGAUUAACCAUUCUAACUUGAGUAUCAAAAGAAAGUUCUAAUCUUUCAAUUAUUGAUGUUGUACCUUCUAAUGUUUCUAUUACUACGUUCUAAGAAUGUUCCACCCCAAAUUGAAAUUGAGGAUUGAGAAAAUAACCUAAGCAUACUUUAUAAGAAUAUCAUCAAAUAAUAAUAAUCUAAAGCUUAAAAUAAUAAAAUAUAAAAAUAGUUCUUAAUUAUAUAAAACAUUUUAUCUUACCAGCUGAAUGCAAGUCAGAAUGCAUAAAAUUUCAUCUAUUGUCAGUAAUCUGUUCGUACUCGGUGAAAUAUCGACAAUCUUGUCGAAUUGCUCGUUUAGCUCUAUCAACAGCCUCAAAAAUAAAGUCUAUUGUUGGUUUUUCAUCACCAUCCACAAGUUUCAAUAAUUUUACUAGGGGCUCGUAAACUUUAAAAAAGAGCCACUGAUCUUUUUAAAAUCAUUAAAGGUUGUUAUAUUUAAGUAAUUAUAUUAACUAAUUAUAAAAUAUUUACAUUUAAAUUAAACAUUUCUCUCAUAUCUUACUUUUGUCUUGUUAUCUCUUCAAGUUAAUGAAAUGAUUUGCAAAUCGAGUAAGAGCAGGUCGAAGUAUUUAUUUCCCUUGUGAAUACUUCAUCAAAUCAAUAGUCCAAUUGUGAUUGUAUAUAACGCAAGUCACUUUCUUAGCCUCAUCUAACACUUUUUCUACGAUGAGUUUUUUCCCAAUAUCUUCAAGGAAUAAAUCUAAACAGUGAGUUACACAUGAGGUCCAAUAUAAAUGCUUUCUUUUCAACAUUAAUUUUUUCCAACAGCUUUCUCAAAUUUCUUCUACAACUAAAUAUAACAAACUGUAGUAGAAUUUAGCAUCUCUAUUAUGAACACUCGAGACAUCCACAGAUUUCUAAAAAACGGUUCCUUUACUGCAAUAAACAAGGAAACUAAUUAUGUGCAUUUGAUUCAAAUUGUUGGUCCAACCAUCACACAGUAGAGUUGCAUUCAAUUCUUUCCAUUGAGUCUUUAGUUCAUUUACCCAAUCACGAACUCAUUGACACUCUGACUUCAAAUACACAUUUAAAACCUCAUAAGGUGUUGAGAGCUUUACACCUUAUCCAACUUCUAUUGACACUUGAAUUAAGUUAUACAAUUAUGGAAAAGUUGCUAAUUGAAAAAACAUUCAUAUAUUAAAAAUUUAGAUAUCGUUUCACUUAUCUCCCUGCGUAAAGUCUUUAAAAAAAAGCCAUUAAUCUUUAGUUAUUUUGAGCUUUUGCUUUUAGCCAAUUCAAGUAUAACUCCCCUUAAGGUAAACUUAGACUCACUUAAGAUGGAUUUACUUAUUCUUUCUCUAUGAUAUUCUCCAAGUGAUCCAUGAGAAGAUUACUAUUCUUCAUAAAUGUUACUCCAAUCAUUAGUACUUCGUCUAAAAUUUUUCCUUCUAUACCACUCGUGUUGUGACAGGACACUUUUAAAUCGAUUAUCGACUUAUCGGUACAAGAAAUUUGUUCAAAAAAAGAAAAAACAAUCCAAACUCUAAACUUUCACACUCAAAUUUCACUAUCCAAACUCCAAACCAAACAAAAUCACAACACAAUUACAAAAUUCUCUAAAUAAAAUCUUUCAUAAAUUCAUAACUUUUAAGUACAUGAAUUUUUUUUUGUCUUAAUUCUUGCUUCUUUUUGUUGUAACAUGCAAAGAUUGACGAGAAAUUUUUGACAAAAUCUUUACAAAUCAUUUUUAUAUUUUCGGGUAUUUUGGUAGUAAUCAAUGGUAGCCUAUGUAAAGUUUAAAGAAAUUGGAAAAAAAAAUGGAGAAUGAACGGAUCUUGUAAAGAAAAGCAAAGAAAACUUAAACCUUAAUUUUUUUUUCUCUUUCAUUUUUUACUCUCUGCCUCACGAUAGAAGAAGAGGAAGGAGGUUGAGGCCUGGGGGAACUUGGGAAACUUUUUGUUUUAAUUUUUAAUUUUUGGGUUUUGAGUGACCCGGCAAUAAUGGGUUGUGGUGGGUUAUUUUUAAAAAAUAAAUUAUAGAUAUACAAUAAAUUUAUUUUUUCAAUGUUAGUGAUGAUAAGUUAUAAAAGUAACAUAUUUUAAUUUUAUUCUUAAUGAGUUUUUAGAUGAUUAUUUAUGCAAAUUGAUAAUUUCUAAUCCUUUAAAUUCAUGUUUCUAUACUUAUUAGAACAUUUGGUAGCAAAAGGAGCGAAAAAAAUAUAGCAAAAAUCAGACAAGUAGAGCAAAUUUCAAGAGCCACACGGGCUAGGCCUUCCCACACGGGUUGGACACACGGCCAUGUGAGCCACAUAGGAUGGACACACAGUCAUGUGCCAGACCGUGUUGAUUUCUUGACUCGUAUCCCAAACACGCGAAAAAACGCAAUUUUUGGGCUUUCUAGUCAUUCGAAAGUCUAUAAAUAUCAAAUAGAAGAAAAGAAUAUGAGACAUCAGAGAAUAUUGAAGAAAACAACUCGAAGAACACCACUGAAACCAACUCUAAAGCAGAUUUUCAUCAAGAUUGAAGGCCUCCUUUUAAUUUCUUUAAAAUUUUUAUGAUUUUCUUUAAUUCUUGUGGUUAUAUUGAUUUUGAGAUAAUUUUAUUUACAAUUAUGAAUUAAUUUCCUAGAUACCUAAGAAUGAUAAACUCUAUGAUGAAAUCUAUUAUUUGAUUUAUGUUUUAUGUGAUAAAUAUUUUAUUCUUAUUCUCAGUAAUGUGUGCUUAACUAUUAUUUUAAUGUUUCUAGGAUAUUAAUUCAUAUUUAUUAUGCUUAAACCAGAGGAGAAAAAUCCUUAUUUAAGAGUAGAUCUAACAUAAUUAAGUGGAGUUGCAUGCAAUCCUAAAAAUAGAAUGACAUAAAUCUAUCGAAAUAGAGUCAAAUCUAAUAAAGGAAGAGUUAAUGUGAUAAUAAGGAUUUUAAUUAAAAAGAAAUUUCAAUUAAUUAACCUAGAGUCAACUGUUCUUACUUAAGAAAGAGAUAAUAGCAAAAUUUAAGGAUUUUGCGGAUCAAGAUAUCAAGUGAAUAAAUCAUUUAAUUCAAAUUCAUAAUGAUAGAUUAAAUCUAAGUGAAUUCUUUCUUGGGUAUUAUUUUACUUCUUGGUUAUUAUUCAAUUAUUUUCCUAAUUUAUUCUCUCCUGAGUUCUUUGGUUAAUUAAUUUAGUAUAUUUAGCUUCAAUCAAUCAUAUCAAAUUAUCAAUUAAAUAAUAGGAAAAUGGUUAUUACUAGUACUUUUAGUGCUCGUGGAUACGAUACCUCUACUCAACGUUGCUAUACUACUUAUCGACAGGCGCACUCGUCUUUGUCAUAUUUUUAGUUAGUUUCGUGAUUUUUUUUUGUAUUAUAUUGUUGAUAAUAUAAGUAACGAAUUACUUAUAUUUCUAAAUAUAAUUUUAUAUUUCUUGUAUAUAAAUAAAAAUAAAGCAUGUCACCACUUGAAGAAUUCCCAACUAAAGGAUUGGAGGGUGCACCAAGUAAUGAUAUAGGUUAACACUUUGGAACUCUAGUGUCAUAUAUGAAAGGAAAUGUCGUAUGAAAACUUUGUAAUAAAGUUGUGAAAGAAGAAAUAACACGAUUUAAAGAGCACAUUGCUCAUAAAACCGGUAAUUUUGCACCAAGCCCUAAUUUAUUGGUAUGUAAUACUUUAUUAUUAUUUUUUAAAUAUUAUCGUAAAUUUAUCAAUAAAGAUUAUACAUAAUUGAUAAUAAUAUAAAAAGUAAAUUAUUUUUAUUUUAUUAACAGGUGUCCGUAGAGAAAGUAUGACGAAUAUACUGAAAGAAAGCAACACAAAGAAAAUAGACAAAAAGAGAACAAAUGAAUUCUUAUCCCAAUUAAAAGGAGGGAAGGAUAAACACGAGGGAUUCAUUGAUGAUGUUUCUGUUAGGCAAGCAACUCGAGAAAAUAUCUAAUCACAACACGAGUGGCAUAGAAGGAAGAAUUCAGACGAAGUACUAGUAGUUGGAGUAACAUUUAUGAAGAAGAGUGAUCUUCUCAUGGAUCAAUUAAAGAAUAUUAUGGAGAAAGAACAAAUAAAUUCAUCCAAAGUGAGUCUAAGUUUACCUUCAGGGAGCUAUACUUGAUUGGCUAGAAGCAAAAGCUCAAAACAACCAAAGAUAACUGGCUCUUUUUUAAAGACAUUACGCAGAAAGAUAGGUGAAGUAAUAUCUAAAUUUUUAAUAUAUGAACGACUUCCUUUUCAAUUAGCAAGCUCUCCAUGGUUGUAUAACUUAUUUCAAAUGUCAAAAGAAGUUGGACAAUGUGUAAAACUUCCAACACCUUAUGAGGUUUCAGAUGUGUAAUUGAAGUUAGAAUAUCAACAAAUUCGUGAUUGCGUAAAUGAACUAAAGACUCAUUGAAAUGAAUUGGGUGUAACUCUAACGUGUGAUAGUUGAACCAACAAUUUGAAUUAAAUGCACAUUAUUAAUUUCCUUGUUUAUUGUAAAUGAAUCGUUUUUUGAAAAUCUGUAGAUGUCUCGAGUGUUUAUAAUAGAGAUAUUGAAUUCUACUACAUUUUGUUAGAUUCAAUUGUAGAAGAAAUUGAAAAAAGUUACACUGUCCAAAUAGUGACUGAUGAGGCAACAAUAAAAGCCACUGGAAAAAAUUAAUGUUGAAAGAAAAUAUUUAUAUUGGACCUCAUGUACAACUCACUAUUUAGAUUUAUACUUUGAAGAUAUUAGGAAAAAGUCAAGUGUAGCAAAAGUGUUAGAUGAGGCUAAGAAAGUAACUUACUUUAUAUACAAUCACAUUUGAACUAUUGAUUUGAUGAAGAAGUAUACAUAAGGGAAGCAAAUACUUCAACCCUCUCUUACUCGAUUCGCAACUCAUUUCAUUAAACUUGAAAAGAUAAUAAGACAAAAAACAAGAUCUGAAAGAAAUAUUUAAUUCAAAGGUCAAUAUUUUAUAAUUACUUAAUAUAAUUACUUCAAUAUAACAACCUUUAAUUAUUUUAUUAAUUUCAAAUAAUUUAAAUUAUAUUAUUUUAAAAUUUUUCUUAUAAAUAUAUAGGAAUUUAAAUAACCAAAAUGGGGACGAUAAAAGUUAGGGCCUACUUAUGAAGCCAAAACAAUUGUUUUUUAAAAAAAAAUUAGAAAAAAGCCAAUGACCUAAUAAAAAUUUACGAGCCCCUAGUAAAAGUAUUGAGACUUGUGGAUAGUGAUGAAAAACUAACAAUGGGUUUUAUUUAUAAAAUUUUUGAUAAAACUAAAUGAGCAAUUCAACAAGAUUGUCCAUAUUUCACCGAGUACGAAAAGAUCAUUAACAUUAGAUGAAAUUUUAUGCUUUCUAACUUGCAUUCAGGUGGUAAGAUAAAAUAUUUCAUAUAAUUAAGAACUAUUUUUAUAUUUGAUUAUUUUAAGCUUUAGAUUAUUAUUUAAUAAUAUUCUUAUAAAUUUUACUUAGGUUAUUUUCUUGAUCGUCAAUUUCAAUUUGGGGUGGAGCAUUCUUAGGACGUACUAGUUGAAAUAUUAGAAGGUACAAGAUAAAUAAUUGAAAGAUUAGAACAUUCUCUUAAUACUCAAGUCAGAAUGAUUAAUCAAGUUAGAUUCAAAUAUUAUUAUUUGUAACUUAGUUACAUAAUUUGAAAUGAAAUUAUUUUUUUUCAUUUUUACUCUAUCUUUUUAUUUAUGCAAUUGUUACUAUUUAAAAAUAAACAUGAGAGAUUCGAUACUUCACAAGCACAAAGAGCUUAGAAGCAAAUGAAUCCAGAUAAAUAGUUAAUUAAAUUGUUUAAUUUAAUUUAAUUUUUAUUAUUUAAUUAUAUUGUACAUUUUGAAGUUAUUUUGAAAUUUAAAUAAUAUUAUGCAGCUAAGUGGUGGAUAAUAUAUGGCACAUGUAUUCCUGAGUUACAAAGAUUAACAAUUAAAGUACUUGGUCAAACAACUUCUGCAUCAAAUUGUGAACGAAAUUGCAACUCAUUAAGUUAUAUUCACACCAAGGCAAGAAAUAGGUUCAAUUAUAAAAAACUUGAGAAACUAGUGUUUACCUACUAUAAUAUAAGGCUUCAGAUAAAGCAUCAAAAAAAAAUGAGCAUUGAUGAUAUAAACACUAGUUUUAAUCCUAUCAGCCUUUAUCAUAUCUUUGUAGAUGUUGAUCGACUAAUCAGAUUUACUUCAAGAGAAAAAGAAUCUAUUGUUAGAUGGUGAAAAUGUCGGUGUGUUGCAUGUGGAUAACUCUAAUGGUGAAAUAAAUAUUGAUCAAUUUUAACAACAAAAGUCUCAUUCAAGUUCUAGUGCAACGCUAAGUUAGAGUGGCGAUAAACAUAAUGGUGAUGGUUUAAGACCAAUAGGUGACGAUGAUGGACAUAGUGGUAAUAGAGGUGAAAUUAGGUCUUCUAGUCAAUAUAGAGGACAAUGUGAAAUUGGUACCAGUAGUGGAUAUUUCCAUGAUAGUUCAGAAUUUGAUAGAAAUAUUUUUCCUGAACCUAGGAGAGAUAAAAGUGAACUUAGAGCUCCAUCAAAAUGAAAAGGCAAGAAGCAUACUUCUGUAUGCUUUUCAUCACGUAGGAGAUCGAGUUCUAAUAACAUUAGAUAUAGUGAUUCAUCCACUAGCACUCAAGGUUUUUAUCCACCUGAACAACCUUCAUAUUUUCAACUUUCACAUGGUUAUCCAUAACCAUAUGGUUAUUAUCCACCAUUUCCUAAUUAUGAUGUGUCAUUUCAGCUUCAAAUGCAUCAUCCACCACCAAUGUAUCAUUCUCCUCAAAUAUAUCCUCCAUAUCAAUUAUAUGAAAACCAAGUUAAAAAUCUUACAUUUUUUAUAUAUAUUUUUGGACAAAGGUCAUGAGAACCAAGUCAAAAACGCUUUGAAAGUGAAGGUGAAGAAUUUAAUCCUCCUCGUCAUUCCACUAAUUAGUGAAAACUAAAUUGUACCACUACCACUAUUUGUAAGGUAUUUUUUUUAAAGAAUAUUUUUGUUAAUGUUUUUAAUUUUAAUGAUAUUAAAACAUUUAAAAUACAUUUAUAGAUAAAUGAAUAAAGUAUAAAACAAUAAUUAAGAAUUGAAACAUGUUAAACUAUAUAUGAAAGUAGAAUGAGAGCGAGAAUAAGUGGUAGGAAAUAGGAAUAAUUAAUGAGAAUCUAUACAUUUAUAACGACCUAUUUUUUGCAGUAACAAUUUUGGACGACACUGCUACUGCUAUAUAACGGCCGCUAUUUCGCUACCCAACAAUUAUUUAAAUCCCUGAAUUUAACAAUUAUUGUCUAGUGAGGAUUAAAAUUUUAAAAAUUGAAAAGUACAAGGGUUAAAAAUGAACAAAGAUUAAAUCCACAACUUUCAAAAAGUACAGAGAGUAAUGACAAAAUUUACCAAUUUGUUAAUACUAUACUUAAGCUUGACCUGACCCGUUUCGAUCCAUAAACACUUUUAAUCCUAACCCAACUUUUUUUUAAGGAUUUAAUCCAUUUAAUUUUAAACUUAAGAUAAAAAUUUCCUAACUCUAUCCACAAAUAUUUUAAUAAAACUAUACUACUAUAUAUAAAAAGUCCAUCCUUCUUUGACACCCUGUCCUUUACUUUUCUUUUACAUUACUAAUAAUAAUGGUUAAAUUUCUAUUGAGGCCCCUCUACUUUUUAAUUAUACAAAAAUGGUCAAAUUUUUAUUUCAAUCCUUAUAACAUGCUUAAAUUUAAUAUUUGAUUUUUAUACUUUAAUUUCAUACAUAGUUUGCUACCUCAAAGUUUAUAAUGUUAUUAGUUAGACUAAAUAUUUUAUUUUAAAUUAAAAUAUUAAAGUAAAUUUAAAGAAUUGUUAACGUCAUUUUUUUUUGUUAUAUUUAGUCCUAUUACAAUGCCAUUUUUCUGACAUGAUCAUGGAAUGAAUACUUUUUUAAAAUUUAGAAUGUCACACCAAUAAGAUUUGAAAAAAUAAAAGGACUAAAUUCUUAAAAAUAAAAAUAUAAAAAUUAGAUUCUAAAAAUAUAGAGAGUAGAUUAUAACCUUUAACUUUUAACUAUUUAAUCUAAAAAUAAUUAAGCAUGAAAUGAACCAUACGAAUUAAAAAUAAAAGGUAAGAUUUGGUGAAACAAUCCCACGAGAUAAAGACAGAAAUAAUUGUCUUUUCCUAAGUCAUUACACCACAUAUAAUUUAGAGAUGCAAACAAGAACCAGAAGAAUUAAAAGGUUGUGUUUGGUAGUAAUUAUUUAGUAAACAAAAUAUUAGAAAUUUAACUUUAAGUUAUGGUUUAUUAGUGGAAUGUUCAUUUUCUUUAAAAAUAGUUUGAGCUUCAAUUACGAUAGUAGAAAAAACAUUAAAAAUUGGGGAAAGAAUAAUUAAUUAUUUUCUUUCAGGACUUAUAUUUUUUUUUUUUCAAAUCUUGUUAUAUAAAUAUUAUUCAAUGAAAUAUUGCUUACUCUCACAAAACAAUUCUUUGUUUAUCUUUGAGAUUAUAAUUAGUCUUGAUUUAUGCUUUGUAUUUAUAUUGGAUAAUUUUACUAUUUAAAAAUAUUUGAAUAAUUUAAAAAUAUAGUUAUUAAUUGAAAUGUAGAUAUUAGAUCAGUUAAAGACUUUAGGUUAUAAUGAUGUACGACGGUCCGUUUCAUAAAAUAUUAAUUUUAACCGAAAUGGAUAUGCAGGGUUUAUCCUCCCACAAAGAAAAGCAUGUUCAGGGGUUAUCAUUUGAAACGAGAUGGGCCAAACUUUGGUAGCUUGCAGUAGACUUACCAGUUGGGUUCCAUCGGCGUUUGCCGCCGAAGCUCUAGCUGUAAUUCAUGGCCUUCGCUUUGCACUCGAUCUUGACUUCCAAUCUGUGAUUUUAGAAGGGGGCUCAAGGUCGGUCAUCCAAAAAAUAGUGGAUAAUGGGAAGGAUUUAUCGGAAAUAAGCGCGCUUACCUGGGAAGCAAAGGAACUCGCGAAAUCUUUUCGGUUUUGCAGGUUCCAUUUUGUAGAUCGAUCCGGAAACAAGGCAGCGCAUGCAAUGACGCGGGACGGGCUGAGGAGAGACGAGGAUAGAUUCUGGGUGGAGGAGGUUCCCGAUUUGGCUACUGUGACUGUCGAUGAUGAUUACAGAUCUGUAGACCCUCCGUAGGUGUGCUAUUCAGGGUUGGUUUUGAGGGGAUUCAUUUUCACUUUUGGCCCUCGUAUGUCUUUGUUGCUCCCUUGGGUCUUCUUUGUUUGGUUAAAUGGUAGUGAAGGGAGCAUCGAUGGUCGGAAUUUCUGUAAAUUUUGUUUAGUCUUGUUUGGUGUGGGUUCUGUUUCUUUUUUGUUUGUGUGUUGGUUUUGUUUUGGUCAGGUUGUUUUGGGUGAGUCUGUUUAUCUGACGUCUUAAUUGUUUUUUGGGUUUUGUUUUGACGGUUUAAUUUUCCAAUAAGAGUGACCGGUAUUUAUUCAAAAAAAUGUAUAAAGAUAAUUAAUUUUAAAUUAUAUAAACGAAUCGACCUCCUAUGUUUUAUACAAUUAUAUUAUUAUAUAAUCCUGAUAUGUUUCAAAAGAAUCCUAUGAUAAAUAUUUAAAAAAUAAUUGUUA